AUUGAACGCUGGCGGCACGCCUAACACAUGCAAGUCGAGCGGCAGCAUGCUUAGUAGCAAUACUAAGUGAUGGCGAGCGGCGGACGGGUGAGGAACACGUAGGAACCUGCCCAAGAGAGGGGGAUAACUAAGGGAAACUUUAGCUAAUACCGCAUAAUCUCUGAGGAGAAAAGUUGCCCGCAAGGGUAGCGCUUUUGGAGGGGCCUGCGUCCGAUUAGUUAGUUGGUGAGGUAAUGGCUCACCAAGACGAUGAUCGGUAACUGGUCUGAGAGGACGACCAGUCACACUGGGACUGAGACACGGCCCAGACUCCUACGGGAGGCAGCAGUGGGGAAUCUUGGACAAUGGGGCAACCCUGAUCCAGCGAUGCCGCGUGGGUGAAGAAGGCCUUCGGGUUGUAAAGCCCUUUAGGCUGGGAAGAAGAGUGCGGGGUGAAUAAUCCUGUACUUUGACGGUACCAGCAGAAUAAGCACCGGCAAACUCUGUGCCAGCAGCCGCAGUAA
RNAcentral lists this ribosomal RNA (503 nucleotides) under uncultured bacterium. RNAcentral describes it as "partial 16S ribosomal RNA". It matches the Rfam family "Bacterial small subunit ribosomal RNA", at positions 30 to 523 of the family's 1533-position model. The record is from RNAcentral.